RNAcentral lists this ribosomal RNA (403 nucleotides) under Verrucomicrobiota bacterium. Its description in RNAcentral is "Verrucomicrobia bacterium partial 16S ribosomal RNA". It matches the Rfam family "Bacterial small subunit ribosomal RNA", at positions 355 to 776 of the family's 1533-position model. Lineage: Bacteria; Pseudomonadati; Verrucomicrobiota. The record is from RNAcentral.
UGGGGAAUAUUGCACAAUGGGCGCAAGCCUGAUGCAGCAACGCCGCGUGAACGAUGAAGGUCUUCGGAUCGUAAAGUUCUGUUGCAGGGGAAGAUAAUGACGGUACCCUGUGAGGAAGCCCCGGCUAACUACGUGCCAGCAGCCGCGGUAAUACGUAGGGGGCUAGCGUUAUCCGGAUUUACUGGGCGUAAAGGGUGCGUAGGUGGUCUUUCAAGUCGGUGGUUAAAGGCUACGGCUCAACCGUAGUUAGCCUCCGAAACUGGAAGACUUGAGUGCAGGAGAGGAAAGUGGAAUUCCCAGUGUAGCGGUGAAAUGCAUAGAUAUUGGGAGGAACACCAGUAGCGAAGGCGGCUUUCUGGACUGCAACUGACACUGAGGCACGAAAGCGUGGGUAGCAAACAGG